GUGUGAAAAAAUAUAAUCCAUCUUGGGAUUCACCCUUGCCAAUCACUUUCCCUGAUUUGUUUUCCUGAAAUUGGAAACAAUGAUCAUUAAAUAUGACUUUAAUGUCAUUGUCUAAUGUUAACUUACUAAUGGCUAUUAGGUUAACUUUGAAUUCAGGAAUAUAUAAAACAUUUUUAAGAACUAAGUUUUCUGAAAUUUUUAUGCAACCCACCCCUUUAACUACUAGUGUCUUCCCACUAGGUAUUGUUACAAAAUGAUUAGGUUCUUUAACAGGUGGGUUAAUAAACAAAUAUAUAUUUCCAGUCAUGUGCUGUGAUGCACCUGUAUCUACUAUCCAUUUGUCUAUAUAAUUAUUCAUGUUAUUAGAAAUGUUAUCUAUAUUAAAAGAAAAAUGAAAAAUUUUACCAUUGUUUGACUUAGUUGAGGAAAUGAGCUCCUUGAAUAGCUGGAUCUCUUCCUGAGUCAAUGUUAGUUGCUGAUUGUUGGAAGUAGUAACUUGAUUUGCAGCUUCUAUGUUAUUUAUAUUGCUGCCCUGGGGUUUUUUUCCUUGGGGUUUUUUCUGAAAUUUAUCUUUUGGUUUUCCAACCAAGUGAUAGCAUUUCUCUCUUGUGUGACCGUAGUACUUACAAUUGUCACA
This 637-nucleotide long non-coding RNA is filed under the name Zostera marina. Its description in RNAcentral is "long non-coding RNA (ZMAR_LNC003348)". The record is from RNAcentral. Lineage: Eukaryota; Viridiplantae; Streptophyta; Magnoliopsida; Alismatales; Zosteraceae.